This 269-nucleotide long non-coding RNA is filed under the name Cavia porcellus (domestic guinea pig). Its description in RNAcentral is "lncRNA (ENSCPOG00000037464.1)". Lineage: Eukaryota; Metazoa; Chordata; Mammalia; Rodentia; Caviidae. The record is from RNAcentral.
UAAUGAUAUAUAAUCUGCCUACUAAUUUCAAUGCAUGAGCCUGUUUCUUCUUGUAAAAAAUAUUAACAGUGUAUCAUUUCCCCCAUUGCUUCACAGUGUCUAGUAAUUUUUUAUUUUAUGCUGGGCAUUGUCGUUCUCUUCUAUUCUGUUUAGGUGCUGACCAUUUACCUGGCUUGGGUGGUCCUGCAUCUAUGAGGCCAGCAAGAGGUGACCUCUCAAGACCUUCCUAAGGUGGGAUCAGAAAUCGGGAGCCCUGGCCUCUGACCUUG